CUUGGUGAUUCUAGCGAGCUGGCCACACCCGUUCCCAUCCCGAACACGGCAGUUAAGCAGCUCAGCGCCGAUGGUAGUGCGUCUUAUGGCGUGCCAGAGUAGGUCAUCGCCAGGG
Molecule: ribosomal RNA, 115 nt
Filed under: Patescibacteria group bacterium
Lineage: Bacteria
Source: RNAcentral